This 381-nucleotide ribosomal RNA is filed under the name Glomeraceae sp. Its description in RNAcentral is "LSU rRNA". The record is from RNAcentral. Lineage: Eukaryota; Fungi; Glomeromycota; Glomeromycetes; Glomerales; Glomeraceae.
AAACGAUUGAAGCCAGUCGUACCGACGGGAAAUCAACUUUUUGAGCGCUUGUCGUGGGUGACGUGGAGCUUCACGGCUUUUGUUGCUUUGCGUUAUGGUGCUUUUUGGGUGUACUUUUCCGUAUGGUAGGUCAAUAUCGAUUUUGGUCGUCAUAAAAUGAUCGGAGGAAUGUGGCUUCGAUCUCGUAUCGAAGUGUUAUAGCCUUUGGUAGAUGUGACGAUUGGGAUUGAAGAUUGCAACGAAUACCCUUUUAGGCUAUCCGUCUGACCUCUGAAAGUCGCUCGGGUGUCGAAAAAGUGCUUUAUGACAUUCUCGUUGGCGGUUAAAAGGUUAGAACGUGAUUACAUUUGUUAAGGAUGUUGACGUAAUGGCUUUAAACGA